This is a non-coding RNA of Mycena latifolia, 121 nucleotides long. NCBI's taxonomy places the organism in Eukaryota, Fungi, Basidiomycota, Agaricomycetes, Agaricales, Mycenaceae. The record is from the annotation of a GenBank genome assembly.
GACGCUUUGGCCGAGUGGUUAAGGCGAUCGCCUGCUAUAUAUGGUAAUUCCUGUUUAGGAAACACCUUCUAGCGUCAGCGGUUGGGGUUUCCCCGCGUGUGUUCGAAUCGCACAGGCGUCG